GUGACAGUGGAGCUGUAGCGGGUGAUAGUGGAGCUGUAGCAGGUGAUAGUGGAGCUGUAGCAGGUGAUAGUGGAGCUGUAGCAGGUGAUAGUGGAGCUGUAGCGGGUGAUAGUGGAGCUGUAGCGGGUGAUAGUGGAGCUGUAGCGGGUGAUAGUGGAGCUGUAGCAGGUGAUAGUGGAGCUGUAGCGGUGAUAGUGGAGCUGUAGCGGGUGAUAGUGGAGCUGUAGCGGGUGAUAGUGGAGCUGUAGCGGGUGAUAGUGGAGCUGUAGCGAGUGAUAGUGGAGCUGUAGCAGGUGAUAGUGGAGCUGUAGGAGGUGGUAGUGGAGCUGUAGCGGGUGAUAGUGGAGCUGUAGAAGGUGAUAGUGGAGCUGUAGCAGGUGGUAGUGGAGCUGUAGCAGGUGAUAGUGGAGCUGUAGCAGGUGAUAGAUAGUGGAGCUGUAGAAGGUGAUAGUGGAGCUGUAGCAGGUGGUAGUGGAGCUGUAGCAGGUG
Molecule: long non-coding RNA, 489 nt
Filed under: Salmo salar (Atlantic salmon)
Lineage: Eukaryota; Metazoa; Chordata; Actinopteri; Salmoniformes; Salmonidae
Description: lncRNA (ENSSSAG00000085602.1)
Source: RNAcentral